Molecule: non-coding RNA, 54 nt
Filed under: unclassified sequences
Description: Mu-gpT-DE RNA
Rfam family: Mu-gpT-DE RNA
Source: Rfam by way of RNAcentral
CCCUGACAACCGCAUAGGGCGGUUGACAUUAGCCAAGACAGGAGAUAACCAAUG